Molecule: ribosomal RNA, 521 nt
Filed under: Bacillus pumilus
Lineage: Bacteria; Bacillati; Bacillota; Bacilli; Caryophanales; Bacillaceae
Description: bacterial SSU rRNA
Rfam family: Bacterial small subunit ribosomal RNA
Source: RNAcentral
GUAAUANGUAGGUGGCAAGCGUUNUCCGGAAUUAUUGGGCGUAAAGGGCUNGCNGGCGGUUUNUUAAGUCUGAUGUGAAAGCCCCCGGCUCAACCGGGGAGGGUCAUUGGAAACUGGGAAACUUGAGUGCAGAAGAGGAGAGUGGAAUUCCACGUGUAGCGGUGAAAUGCGUAGAGAUGUGGAGGAACACCAGUGGCGAAGGCGACUCUCUGGUCUGUAACUGACGCUGAGGAGCGAAAGCGUGGGGAGCGAACAGGAUUAGAUACCCUGGUAGUCCACGCCGUAAACGAUGAGUGCUAAGUGUUAGGGGGUUUCCGCCCCUUAGUGCUGCAGCUAACGCAUUAAGCACUCCGCCUGGGGAGUACGGUCGCAAGACUGAAACUCAAAGGAAUUGACGGGGGCCCGCACAAGCGGUGGAGCAUGUGGUUUAAUUCGAAGCAACGCGAAGAACCUUACCAGGUCUUGACAUCCUCUGACAACCCUAGAGAUAGGGCUUUCCCUUCGGGGACAGAGUGACAGGU